ACGAACGCUGGCGGCGUGCCUAAUACAUGCAAGUUGAGCGCUGAAGGUUGGUACUUGUACCAACUGGAUGAGCAGCGAACGGGUGAGUAACGCGUGGGGAAUCUGCCUUUGAGCGGGGGACAACAUUUGGAAACGAAUGCUAAUACCGCAUAAAAACUUUAAACACAAGUUUUAAGUUUGAAAGAUGCAAUUGCAUCACUCAAAGAUGAUCCCGCGUUGUAUUAGCUAGUUGGUUAGGUAAAGGCUCACCAAGGCGAUGAUACAUAGCCGACCUGAGAGGGUGAUCGGGCACAGUGGGACGGAGACACGGCCCCAACUCCUACGGGAGGCAGCAGUAGGGAAUCUUCGGCAAUGGACGAAAGUCUGACCGAGCAACGCCGCGUGAGUGAAGAAGGGUUUCGGAUCGUAAAACUCUGUUGGUAGAGAAGAACGUUGGUGAGAGUGGAAAGCUCAUCAAGUGACGGUAACUACCCAGAAAGGGACGGCUAACUACGUG
RNAcentral lists this ribosomal RNA (496 nucleotides) under uncultured bacterium. RNAcentral's name for it is "partial 16S ribosomal RNA". It matches the Rfam family "Bacterial small subunit ribosomal RNA", at positions 29 to 507 of the family's 1533-position model. The record is from RNAcentral.